GUUAACAAAUACAGUUUAGAUCUAACCACACGAAGGCUAAUGAGCUAGUUAAAUACGCACCUUGGAGUUAAAAUUGUGUGUGGCAGCACGCAAAGAAGAUAUUUAAUUAGGGGUGAUAGGCCUAACAAGUUGGCCGAUAUCUUGUUGUUUAGGAAAACUAUUAAGUAGUUAGUCAGCUUUAAAGUGUUUAGGUUUUAAAGGAGCAUUACAAUAGGUGUAUUAACAUUUAGGUUGUUUAAUUACAAUUAAUUAAGUAUAGUUAGAACUAAGUACUUGUCACUAUGCGUAUUACUAAAAUAUGUUGAAUAACACUAUCAAUAUAAAUACUGUUAACAUGAGUAUUUACAUAAUAUGUAUAAAGGAACUCGGCAACUAUUCUAUUCAACUGUUUAUCAAAAACAUAGCCUGAUGAAACGAUGUUUGGUGCCUUCUGCUCCAUGGUUAACUAAAUAGCCGCAGUACCUUGACUGUGCUAAGGUAGCAUAAUCAAUUGGCUUAUAAUUGAAGUCUGGAAUGAAAGAAGACAUGGAUAGUCUCUGUCUCUUAACUUUAAACUGAAUUUACUAAUUAGGUGAAAAGUCCUAUAAAUAACUAAUAGACGAGAAGACCCUUGAAAUUUUUUACAUAACAGUAUAGAUACUUCAUAAUUUUGUUGGGGCGACAGGAUAACAAAUAACUUGUCUUGUAUAUAUAUAUUAGCAUUUUAUUUAAGGAAAAAAUAAAUUACUCGAGGGAUAACAGCAUAAUGUGUUUAAAGUUUGUGACCUCGAUGUUGGACUAGGGUCUCUUAAGGGCCAGAAGCUUUAAGAUUAGGCUCUGUUCGAGCUUGUAUUCCUACAUGAUCUGAGUUCAGACCGG
Molecule: ribosomal RNA, 858 nt
Filed under: Trochoidea elegans
Lineage: Eukaryota; Metazoa; Mollusca; Gastropoda; Stylommatophora; Geomitridae
Description: partial 16S ribosomal RNA
Source: RNAcentral